AACGAACGCUGGCGGCAUGCCUAACACAUGCAGGUCGAACGAGACCUUCGGGUCUAGGGGCGCACGGGUGCGUAACGCGUGGGAACCUGCCCUUAGGUUCGGAAUAACUCCCCGAAAGGGGUGCUAAUACCGGAUAAUGUCUUCGGACCAAAGAUUUAUCGCCUUUGGAUGGGCCCGCGUUGGAUUAGCUAGUUGGUAGGGUAAAAGCCUACCAAGGCGACGAUCCAUAGCUGGUCUGAGAGGAUGAUCAGCCACACUGGGACUGAGACACGGCCCAGACUCCUACGGGAGGCAGCAGUGGGGAAUAUUGGACAAUGGGCGAAAGCCUGAUCCAGCAAUGCCGCGUGAGUGAUGAAGGCCUUAGGGUUGUAAAGCUCUUUUACCCGGGAUGAUAAUGACAGUACCGGGAGAAUAAGCUCCGGCUAACUCCGUG
Molecule: ribosomal RNA, 433 nt
Filed under: uncultured bacterium
Lineage: Bacteria
Description: partial 16S ribosomal RNA
Rfam family: Bacterial small subunit ribosomal RNA
Source: RNAcentral